RNAcentral lists this ribosomal RNA (253 nucleotides) under uncultured bacterium. Its description in RNAcentral is "partial 16S ribosomal RNA". It matches the Rfam family "Bacterial small subunit ribosomal RNA", at positions 524 to 776 of the family's 1533-position model. The record is from RNAcentral.
UACGGAGGGGGCUAGCGUUGUUCGGAAUUACUGGGCGUAAAGCGCGCGUAGGCGGGCUGUUAAGUCGGGGGUGAAAUCCCGGGGCUCAACCCCGGAACUGCCUUCGAUACUGGCAGCCUAGAGGAAGGCAGAGGCUAGUGGAAUGGCGAGUGUAGAGGUGAAAUUCGUAGAUAUUCGCCGGAACACCAGUGGCGAAGGCGACUGGCUGGGCCUAUUAUGACGCUGAGGUGCGAAAGCGUCGGGAGCAAACAGG